CGAUNUUCGUGCGAGGCGGUACGACAUGCNAAGUCGNGUGAAAACAGAAAGUAGCUUGCUACUCUGCUGACUAGCGGCGGACGGGUGAGUAAUGCUUGGGAACAUGCCUUGAGGUGGGGGACAACAGUUGGAAACGACUGCUAAUACCGCAUAAUGUCUACGGACCAAAGGGGGCUUCGGCUCUCGCCUUUAGAUUGGCCCAAGUGGGAUUAGCUAGUUGGUGAGGUAAUGGCUCACCAAGGGCGACGAUCCCUAGCUGGUUUGAGAGGAUGAUCAGCCACACUGGGACUGAGACACGGCCCAGACUCCUACGGGAGGCAGCAGUGGGGAAUAUUGCACAAUGGGCGCAAGCCUGAUGCAGCCAUGCCGCGUGUGUGAAGAAGGCCUUCGGGUUGUAAAGCACUUUCAGUCAGGAGGAAAGGUUAGUAGUUAAUACCUGCUAGCUGUGACGUUACUGACAGAAGAAGCACCGGCUAACUCCGUGCCAGCAGCCGCGGUAAUACGGAGGGUGCGAGCGUUAAUCGGAAUUACUGGGCGUAAAGCGUACGCAGGCGGUUUGUUAAGCGAGAUGUGAAAGCCCCGGGCUCAACCUGGGAACUGCAUUUCGAACUGGCAAACUAGAGUGUGAUAGAGGGUGGUAGAAUUUCAGGUGUAGCGGUGAAAUGCGUAGAGAUCUGAAGGAAUACCGAUGGCGAAGGCACGCCACCUGGGUCAACACUGACGCUCAUGUACGAAAGCGUGGGGAGCAAAGCGGGAUUAGAUACCCCCGGUAGUCCACGCCGUAAAGCGACCGUCUACUAGAAGACUACGGAGCCUCGGCCUCUGGGUCUCAAAGCAAACGCACGUAAGUAGACCCGCCUGGGGAGUACGGCCGCCAACGGCUAAAACUCAAAUGAACGACCGGGGGCCACGCACAAGCGGUGUAGCAUGUCGG
Molecule: ribosomal RNA, 934 nt
Filed under: Pseudoalteromonas sp. UST050418-809
Lineage: Bacteria; Pseudomonadati; Pseudomonadota; Gammaproteobacteria; Alteromonadales; Pseudoalteromonadaceae
Description: bacterial SSU rRNA
Rfam family: Bacterial small subunit ribosomal RNA
Source: RNAcentral